Long non-coding RNA from Macrobrachium nipponense, 584 nucleotides. RefSeq lists it as uncharacterized. The transcript is spliced from 4 exons. The record is from RefSeq and is a predicted model, not a curated record. NCBI's taxonomy places the organism in Eukaryota, Metazoa, Arthropoda, Malacostraca, Decapoda, Palaemonidae.
UUUGGUUGAAAGAUAUCAUACAACAUAAUGAACACCAGAAUUUUUGUCUGGGGUGUGGUCUGUAGCAGCAUGUCCUAGUGAUGUUUUUUUACCGAGUCAGUCUUCAAAAGAAACUGAAAUAUCAUCCUGCUUCUGUAAUGAGGCUCCAGGUGGGGAGCAGUGCCUCAUAACAUUUAGCUUUUUUGAAGCCUCAUCUCUCUUGAACACCACGCUGUUUUUACGAUGGGGAACCAGCAACUGUAGAGUCCUGUCAGCAUCAUGGUACACUGUUCAUACUGCACUUAAAUGUAUGGGAAUUCGAGAGGAGGAAAUCAUUAAAAAAAAAGGGUCCUUAAUUUCUCGGUACACCAACAAUCAAUCUUUCAUGUGUAUUGCCCUUAACUCUCCAGUAAGAUUCAAUUCAAGGCUGGUGUAUUUACACCCGUUAUGUGAGACCGUAGCCACUGAGAGUAUUGAGAGGUCAAAUAGUAAUUUCAGAGUGAAGCAGUCAGAAAAUGGAGAGAGAUAUUGGGUUGCAGAUAUGGCCUGGUCCAGGGAUAAUUCAUAUGUCGUUGGUUGCCUUAAUACAGGUGCCAUUUUCAUUG